This 500-nucleotide ribosomal RNA is filed under the name uncultured bacterium. RNAcentral's name for it is "bacterial SSU rRNA". It matches the Rfam family "Bacterial small subunit ribosomal RNA", at positions 36 to 507 of the family's 1533-position model. The record is from RNAcentral.
CUGGCGGCGUGCUUAACGACAUGCAAGUCGAACGGGCUGAAGUGAUAGCUUGCUAUUAUGGACGCUAGUGGCAAACGGGUGAGUAACGCGUAGGCAACCUGCCCUUCAGAUGGGGACAACACUUCGAAAGAGGUGCUAAUACCGAAUACGUUCUUUUUGUCGCAUGGCAGAGAGAAGAAAGGGAGGCUCUUCGGAGCUUUCGCUGAAGGAGGGGCUUGCGUCUGAUUAGCUAGUUGGAGGGGUAACGGCCCACCAAGGCGACGAUCAGUAGCCGGUCUGAGAGGAUGAACGGCCACAUUGGGACUGAGACACGGCCCAGACUCCUACGGGAGGCAGCAGUGGGGAAUCUUCCGCAAUGGACGAAAGUCUGACGGAGCAACGCCGCGUGAACGAUGACGGCCUUCGGGUUGUAAAGUUCUGUUAUACGGGACGAAUGGCGUAGCGGUCAAUACCCGUUACGAGUGACGGUACCGUAAGAGAAAGCCACGGCUAACUACGUG